UACGUAGGUGGCAAGCGUUGUCCGGAAUUAUUGGGCGUAAAGCGCGCGCAGGCGGUCCUUUAAGUCUGAUGUGAAAGCCCACGGCUCAACCGUGGAGGGUCAUUGGAAACUGGGGGACUUGAGUGCAGGAGAGAAGAGUGGAAUUCCACGUGUAGCGGUGAAAUGCGUAGAGAUGUGGAGGAACACCGGUGGCGAAGGCGGCGACCUGGGUAGAUACUGACGCUGAGGUGCGAAAGCGUGGGGAGCAAACAGG
This 253-nucleotide ribosomal RNA is filed under the name uncultured bacterium. Its description in RNAcentral is "partial 16S ribosomal RNA". It matches the Rfam family "Bacterial small subunit ribosomal RNA", at positions 524 to 776 of the family's 1533-position model. The record is from RNAcentral.